CCAAUAGCGUAUAUUAAAGUUGUUGCAGUUAAAAAGCUCGUAGUUGAAUUUCGGGAUCAAUAUACUGGUCGUGCCAUUGGUACGUACUAGUAUUUUGGUUUCUCCCUUCUGAUGAAUCAUGAUGUCAUUAAUUUGAUGUCAUGAGGAAUCAGGACUAUUACUUUGAAAAAAUUAGAGUGUUUAAAGCAGGCUCGCGCUUGAAUACAUUAGCAUGGAAUAAUGAAAUAGGACGUUUGAUUCUAUUUUGUUGGUUUCUAGGAUUGACGUAAUGAUUAAUAGGGAUAGUUGGGGGCAUUAGUAUUCAAUUGUCAGAGGUGAAAUUCUUGGAUUUAUUGAAGACUAACUACUGCGAAAGCAUUUGCCAAGGAUGUUUUCAUUAAUCAAGAACGAAAGUUAGGGGAUCGAAGACGAUCAGAUACCGUCGUAGUCUUAACCAUAAACUGUGCCGACUAGGGAUCGGAUGAUGUUAAUUUUUUAAUGACUCAUUCGGCGCCUUACG
This 499-nucleotide ribosomal RNA is filed under the name uncultured Glomeromycotina. Its description in RNAcentral is "partial small subunit ribosomal RNA". It matches the Rfam family "Eukaryotic small subunit ribosomal RNA", at positions 591 to 1092 of the family's 1831-position model. The record is from RNAcentral. Lineage: Eukaryota; Fungi; Glomeromycota.